This is a long non-coding RNA of Symphalangus syndactylus (siamang), 2332 nucleotides long. RefSeq lists it as uncharacterized. Lineage: Eukaryota; Metazoa; Chordata; Mammalia; Primates; Hylobatidae. The record is from RefSeq and is a predicted model, not a curated record.
GUUGACCUAAGACUCUUAGACUUAUAGAUUCACCUUGUAGAUAAAACGGCUUUGGAGGUCAUCUAACCCAUUCCCUUAACUCUCCAUCCUACUUCACCAACAACCAGCUUUUGCAAGACACUUCCAGGGGAAGAGUCUAUGCCGAGACAAAUGAUUUCAUUAACCAUCACAAAGCUAAUUGUUACCUGAUUCUUAAACUUGGUCCAACCUUGCCUCUGUUUAGUCUUUGACUGAAUAGCUCUAGUUCGCACCUAAAGAGUUGUAUGAAAUACAGUUCCAGAAAGAGAAGGGGACGUUGAGGAGAGAGCGAGACAGGGCACAGAAUAGACUUGAACCUCAUGUCUAUCAAUUCGCAUAAGAUAACGGAGCGAAGUCUGCAGAAAUGAAGGAAGAGUCAGAUGAGGAUAGCUGGAGCUAGUGCAAGGAGGCAAGCAGAACGGUGGGAGCCAGGUACCCCCUGGAUUUAUAAUUCAUACUGAAUUCCAACAACAGAAAGGCUCUAAGCAGGAGAAUGACAGAUUUCAGAAGACUGAGACACAUUUGGUAAAAAAGUAGGAGGAAAACCUGAUUCUGGAAUUAGGGCAGCCAAUAGACGGCAGUAUUUUCAGAAAGGAAGGAAUGGUCAACAGUGACUUUCUAGUCUGGAGCCCAGGAGGAAGAGGCAACUCUACCUGAUGGUAUUAAGAUCAUGCAGGUAGCUGAGAUCACCUAGCCUGUGUCUGUCAAAUGAGAAGAGAAGAAAGACUCGGAGAAGUUCCCCAGGAGCACAGACAUUAAGUGGGGCUGUGGUGACAACACGAGAAGAGAGGCUUUGCAAAGGAGACUGAGCAGCUGUCAUGAGAGAGGUAGGAUGGUGGACUCGGAGAAGAGGCAGAAGAUGUUCUUAAACGAAGGACACUGCUGCCAAGUAGUCAGCCAAUUGGUGACAAAGAAAGACCUUGUUGCGAGAAAAAAGGUCAGUGAAGUAGUAGGAACGACGACAGGUGACACUGGGUUGAAGACUGAGGAGAGAGAAGUGUAAGAGUGGAAGCAGAGGGCAGACCACUCUUCCGAGACACUGAAGAGGCAUAGUUAGAAAUAAAGGGGAGUCUCCAGAAAGGAAUUUGUGGCUAAGCAAGAGGUUUUCUUUAAGAUUGAAAUACAUAAGCAUGAUUUAAAUGCUGCUGGGAUGGAGUUCACAGACCUGGAAGACAGAAGACAAAGCGGAUCAUCAAGAUAGUGGAAUUUACUGAAAUGAGAGAGGAAAAUCCCAUCCACAGGAAAUGCAGACAUGUGGGAGGGGCCAGAAGGACAGUGAAACAUCAGCAACUGGUCCCCCAACUUCUGAAUGAAUGUGGAGAUAUAAUCAGGUGAUGUGACCCAGCCUGUGGUUUCCACUGCCAUCCACACACGUCACUGCCUCUCUUCACAUCAGCAUCGCAACUAUCUCCUGGAAGCUUUCCAAGUGCUGAACUACAGUAACCUCAACUGAACUGCUGUUCAUUCACCCCACAGGCUUGCCCCUCCUCUGCAUCUUUGUGAGAAACCUGAGAGUCGUCCUAAACUCCUCCUUCCACCUCACUCCCCACAUCAAAUUGAUUACCAACUUGUGCUGAUUUUAUCUCCAAUUAUUCUCCAGAAUUGUUGCUGUCAUGGACUGAAUAUUUGUGUCCCCCCAAAUUCGUAUGUCCCAAUCCCUGAUGUGACUGUAUUUAGAGACGUGACCUCUAAGGAGUAAUUAAGGUUCAGUGAGGUCAAAGGUGGAGCCCUGAUCUGAUAGGAUCAGUGGCCUUAUAAGAGACUAGAGCUGGGCACAGGGGCUCACACCUGUAAUCCCAGUAUUUUGGGAGGCUGAGGUGGGAGGAUCACUCGAGGACAGGAGUCUGAGACCAGCCUUGGCAACAGAGUAAGACCCCAUCUCUACAAGAAAAUAAAAUAGUCAGACACAAUAGUACACACCUGUGGUCCCAGCUCCUCAGGAGGCUGAGGCAGGAGGAUGGCUUGAGCCCAGGAAUUUGAGGCUGCAGCAAGCUAUGAUCACACCGCUGCACUCCAGCCUGGGUGACAGCACGAGACCCAGUCUCUUAAAAAAAAAAAAAAAGGCCAUAUAUAGCCCAGAAGAGUGUCCUCACCAGAACCCAAUCCUGAUAGCACCUGGAGGACUUUCAUCCUCCAGAGCUGUGAGAAAAUUUCUGUUGCUUGCACCGCCCAGUCUGUGGUAUUUUGCUGUGGCAGCGCAAGCUGACUUAUCAGUGACCUUCUCUCUGUUACCGCAGGGUAGCUCAUCGUCGUCUCUUCCCUAGAGUCCAGCCACUCUCUCACAUCUGUCUACCUAGCAGUAUCACUGUGGGUU